Molecule: ribosomal RNA, 478 nt
Filed under: uncultured bacterium
Lineage: Bacteria
Description: partial 16S ribosomal RNA
Rfam family: Bacterial small subunit ribosomal RNA
Source: RNAcentral
GAUGAACGCUGGCGGCGUGCUUAACACAUGCAAGUCGAACGAAGCACUUUAACCUGAUUCUUCGGAUGAAGGUUUUUGUGACUGCGUGGCGGACGGGUGAGUAACGCGUGGGUAACCUGCCUCAUACCGGGGGAUAACUGUUAGAAAUGACUGCUAAUACCGCCUAAGACCACAGAGCCGCCUGGCUCGGUGGGACAAACUCCGGUGGUAUGAGCUGGACCGCGUCUGAUUAGGUAGUUGGUGGGGGAACGGCCUACCAAGGCAAGGAUCAGUAGACGACCAGAGAGAGUGAGCCGACACAUUGAGAGGGAGACACAGCGCAAACUCCUACGGGAGGGAGCAAUGGGGAAUAGUGCACAACGGGGGAAGCGCUGAAGCAGCGACGCCGCGUGAGCGAAGAAGUAUUGCGGGAUGAAAAGCACUAUCAGCAGGGAAGAAAAUGACGGUACCUGACGAAGAAGCACCGGCUAAAUACGUG